RNAcentral lists this long non-coding RNA (235 nucleotides) under Salvia miltiorrhiza (redroot sage). RNAcentral's name for it is "long non-coding RNA (SMIL_LNC003877)". Lineage: Eukaryota; Viridiplantae; Streptophyta; Magnoliopsida; Lamiales; Lamiaceae. The record is from RNAcentral.
CGGCUGAGUGAGCGGCGUCUGCGAUGCGCAUCUCCAAGUGUUGAGCUUCUUCGGUGUAAACGGCGUGGGAGGUGUAGGUUUCGAGGAAUUGUUGCAGGAAACUGAGGCUUUGAGCGAGGGAAUGGACUUGUUGUUUGUGGAGACAGAGUGGAGGGCGAGGAUGGUGCUCGAUUUGGUGUAUGAUGUGCGUGAGAGAAACCAGAGCUGCAUAAGCAGCUGCCAUUUCUUCUUCAAC